RNA transcript from Zea mays, 2657 nucleotides. It is a transcript of the gene named DNA polymerase eta, with no coding region annotated. Lineage: Eukaryota; Viridiplantae; Streptophyta; Magnoliopsida; Poales; Poaceae. The transcript is spliced from 14 exons. The record is from RefSeq and is a predicted model, not a curated record.
UCUUCAUCUUGCCAAGCUUUCCUCAAAAACUCGAAAAAGGAACGGAGAAGGCGUCCUCGACGACUGCCCAUGGCCGCCGCCCGGACCUAGGCUAGGGAUUGCUGUCUCCUGAGUCCCGACCUACCAAGGCGGAAAGGGAGAGGGGGCGCUGUGGCGUCAGGAAAUAACUGGAAGCCGAGGGCUGAGGGCGAGUUCAGAGUCAGGUGGUUAUCGCUUUCUUUUUCGUUUUCUUUUUCCGGAGGGUAGUAUUGGGGAUGCCGGUUGCUAGGCCGGAGCCGCAGGAGCCCCGGGUGAUCGCCCAUGUCGACAUGGACUGCUUCUAUGUUCAAGUCGAGCAGCGGAGGAACCCGGCGCUCAGGGGACAGCCGACCGCCGUGGUGCAGUACAACGGCUGGAAAGGCGGCGGCUUGAUUGCCGUCAGCUACGAGGCUCGUGGAUUUGGUGUGAAGAGGUCCAUGCGCGGAGAUGAGGCCAAGAGGGUUUGUCCUGGUAUUAAUCUUGUUCAGGUCCCAGUGGCGCGUGGCAAGGCUGACCUUAAUCUUUACAGAAGUGCUGGUGCUGAGGUUGUUGCAAUCCUUGCAAGCAAAGGGAAGUGCGAGCGGGCAUCCAUCGACGAAGUUUAUCUUGACCUUACUGAUGCAGCAAAUGAAAUGGUCUUACAAGCUCCCCCAGAUUCACCAGAGGGGAUUUUUAUGGAGGCGGCAAAGUCAAAUAUCUUGGGCCUUCCGGCUGAUGCCAGCGAGAAGGAAAAGAAUGUGAGGGCAUGGCUUUGUCAAUCAGAAGCUGAUUACCAGGACAAGUUACUGGCAUGUGGAGCUAUAAUUGUUGCACAGUUACGAGUCAGAGUUCUGGAGGAAACCCAAUUCACAUGCUCUGCUGGGAUUGCUCACAAUAAGAUGUUAGCUAAACUUGUCAGUGGAAUGCACAAGCCUGCUCAGCAAACAGUUGUCCCUUCUUCAUCAGUUCAAGACUUACUAGCAUCACUACCUGUGAAGAAGAUGAAACAGCUUGGUGGUAAGCUUGGAAGUUCCUUGCAGGAUGAUCUUGGGGUUGAGACCAUUGGUGAUCUCCUAAGUUUUACAGAGGAAAAAUUACAAGAGCAGUAUGGAGUAAAUACUGGAACUUGGUUAUGGAAGACUGCCAGGGGCAUUAGCGGGGAAGAAGUUGAGGACCGUCUUCUCCCAAAGAGUCACGGGUGUGGAAAGACAUUUCCUGGCCCAAGAGCACUGAAGUACAGUGCUUCUGUCAAAGGCUGGCUGGAUCAACUAUGUGAAGAAUUAAGUGAACGUAUCCAGUCUGACCUGAACCAGAACAAGAGAAUUGCUCAAACGCUAACUCUUCAUGCCAGAGCAUUUAAGAAAAAUGAACAUGAUUCAAUGAAGAAAUUCCCUUCCAAAUCCUGUCCUUUGCGCUAUGGGACUGGGAAAAUUCAGGAGGAUGCAAUGAGGCUAUUUGAAUCUGGCCUUCAUGAGUUUUUAGAAUCUCAGAACACUGGAUGGGGCAUAACAUCUCUUUCUGUCACUGCAAGCAAAAUAUUUGAUAUACCUAGUGGAACAAGCUCAAUCCUGAGAUACAUUAAAGGUCCAAGUUCUGCUGCAGCUCUGACUAUACCUGAUUCUCCAAGUUCUGCUGCAGCUCUGGCUAUACCUGAUUCUUCAUUUGUACCUGAGGAUCCAUCUCUUGAUAAUGAUGUAUUUGUGGAGCCAAUUCAUGAAGAAGAAUGCCAACCAUCAACCUCUGAGAAAGAAGACGACAAUAAUACACAUUCUGCGUCUGCAUUUUCAGCUAAAAAAUGCCGAGCAAAUGAAGAAAAAAGAAUAUCAAAGAAAUUGCCUGGAGUUCAGCACCAAUGUCUAAUAUUCAAGUUGGAAGGUGGCAUAACAUCCCCAAAAUUAAUGCUUGGCAUUGCCUUUUGUAUCAGAAAUGAUCAAAUCGAGGGCUUUUAUUUCUGAGUCAGCUGCAGUUUCUUUCUUACAUUAUGUUGCCUAUCAUGAUUACGGUCUUGUACUUGCUUUUUAUUCAGUGAAAUUAGUACUCUAUUGUGCCAUUUUGCCAUGUACUGAACUUGUUCACUUCUCUUUUUUUCUCAUUUCUUUUGUGUUGGUAGUACAAGAUUUUCAAACUAAUUUUUAGUUUCCAUGUCAUUAACUCGCCCAAGGUGUUUCAUUACCAUAGGGAACUUCCUCGAUAUUGAAGUUUCUUUCACGGGGCCAAUCUACCUUACAUGAGAAAAGAAAAUCUGAUGGACUAAUUUGCAGUCAUCAAGGUCCCGGGAGUUCUUCGGAAGCAUACAAAGCUGGAGCACACAAUGUGCCCGCGGAAGCUGAGGAUAGGAACAACACCAACAGUUGUGCUGAACCCUCUGGCAGUAACACAUGGACGUUCAACCUUCAAGACAUUGAUCCAGCGGUGGUAGAGGAGCUGCCACCAGAGAUCCAAAGAGAAAUACAGGGGUGGGUCCGUCCAUCGAAGCACCCGAUCACGAAGAGACGUGGUUCUACAAUUUCUUCAUACUUUCCACCCGCGAGGUCUUAGAUACGUUGAUACGUUAGUUCUUGAUUGUAUAUUCUUUAUUUUCUACACACAACGGCCUCGCUCUGUGUAUUGUAAUUGUAAGAUGUGAAGAUGUUUAGGUAGCCCUAUAUGUGAUUAACAGC